This 669-nucleotide ribosomal RNA is filed under the name uncultured bacterium. Its description in RNAcentral is "bacterial SSU rRNA". It matches the Rfam family "Bacterial small subunit ribosomal RNA", at positions 8 to 674 of the family's 1533-position model. The record is from RNAcentral.
AGAGUUUGAUCAUGGCUCAGAUUGAACGCUGGCGGCAUGCUUUACACAUGCAAGUCGAACGGUAACAGGCCGCAAGGUGCUGACGAGUGGCGAACGGGUGAGUAAUGCAUCGGAACGUGCCCAGUCGUGGGGGAUAACGCAGCGAAAGCUGCGCUAAUACCGCAUACGAUCUAUGGAUGAAAGCGGGGGACCGUAAGGCCUCGCGCGAUUGGAGCGGCCGAUGUCAGAUUAGGUAGUUGGUGGGGUAAAGGCUCACCAAGCCGACGCUCUGUAGCUGGUCUGAGAGGACGACCAGCCACACUGGGACUGAGACACGGCCCAGACUCCUACGGGAGGCAGCAGUGGGGAAUUUUGGACAAUGGGCGCAAGCCUGAUCCAGCAAUGCCGCGUGCAGGAAGAAGGCCUUCGGGUUGUAAACUGCUUUUGUACGGAACGAAAAGGCCCUGGUUAAUACCUGGGGCUCAUGACGGUACCGUAAGAAUAAGCACCGGCUAACUACGUGCCAGCAGCCGCGGUAAUACGUAGGGUGCAAGCGUUAAUCGGAAUUACUGGGCGUAAAGCGUGCGCAGGCGGUUUUGUAAGACAGGCGUGAAAUCCCCGGGCUCAACCUGGGAAUUGCGCUUGUGACUGCAAGGCUGGAGCGCGGCAGAGGGGGAUGGAAUUCCGCGU